This 255-nucleotide ribosomal RNA is filed under the name uncultured bacterium. RNAcentral's name for it is "partial small subunit ribosomal RNA". It matches the Rfam family "Bacterial small subunit ribosomal RNA", at positions 26 to 285 of the family's 1533-position model. The record is from RNAcentral.
AGGACGAACGCUGGCGGCGUGCUUAACACAUGCAAGUCGAGCGGAAAGGCCCUUCGGGGUACUCGAGCGGCGAACGGGUGAGUAACACGUGAGCAACCUGCCCCUGGCUCUGGGAUAGCCUCCGGAAACGGGGAUUAAUACCGGACAUUCACUUCCUUCCGCAUGGUUGGUGGUGGAAAGUUUUUCGGCCGGGGAGGGGCUCGCGGUCUAUCAGCUUGUUGGCGGGGUAACGGCCCACCAAGGCGACGACGGAUA